GGGAUAACGAGGCGAAAGCUUUGCUAAUACCGCAUGAGAUCUGAGGAUGAAAGCAGGGGACCGCAAGGCCUUGCGCGUUUGGAGCGGCCGAUGGCAGAUUAGGUAGUUGGUGGGAUAAAAGCUUACCAAGCCGACGAUCUGUAGCUGGUCUGAGAGGACGACCAGCCACACUGGGACUGAGACACGGCCCAGACUCCUACGGGAGGCAGCAGUGGGGAAUUUUGGACAAUGGGGGAAACCCUGAUCCAGCAAUGCCGCGUGCAGGAUGAAGGCCUUCGGGUUGUAAACUGCUUUUGUACGGAACGAAAAGGCUCUGGUUAAUACCUGGGGCUCAUGACGGUACCGUAAGAAUAAGCACCG
This 360-nucleotide ribosomal RNA is filed under the name uncultured Acidovorax sp. RNAcentral describes it as "bacterial SSU rRNA". It matches the Rfam family "Bacterial small subunit ribosomal RNA", at positions 140 to 495 of the family's 1533-position model. The record is from RNAcentral. Lineage: Bacteria; Pseudomonadati; Pseudomonadota; Betaproteobacteria; Burkholderiales; Comamonadaceae.